GAUGAAGAACGUAGCGAAAUGCGAUAAGUAAUGUGAAUUGCAGAAUUCAGUGAAUCAUCGAAUCUUUGAACGCACAUUGCGCCCGCCAGCACUCUGGCGGGCAUGCCUGUUCGAGCGUCAUUUCGACCAUCAGGCCCUCCGGGCUUGUGUUGGGGCUCCCUGCGGCUGUCCGCAGGCCCUGAAAACCAGUGGCGGGCUUGCAAAGUCACACCGAGCGCAGUAGAUUUUUUUCAUCUCGCUCAGGGCGUGCGUGCGGGCGCCGGCCGUAAAAGACGAGAGCGCGGCCUCGGCCGCCCACAAAUACCACAAGGUUGACCUCGGAUCAGGUAGGAAGACCCGCUGAACUUAAGCAUAUCAAUAAGCGGAGGA
Molecule: unclassified non-coding RNA, 369 nt
Filed under: soil metagenome
Description: partial contains 5.8S ribosomal RNA, internal transcribed spacer 2, and large subunit ribosomal RNA
Rfam family: 5.8S ribosomal RNA (bases 1-120)
Source: RNAcentral